Molecule: ribosomal RNA, 924 nt
Filed under: uncultured Alphaproteobacteria bacterium
Lineage: Bacteria; Pseudomonadati; Pseudomonadota; Alphaproteobacteria
Description: bacterial SSU rRNA
Rfam family: Bacterial small subunit ribosomal RNA
Source: RNAcentral
CAAGUCUAGGGGGUAGCAAUACCACCGGCGGACGGGUGCGUAACACGUGGGAAUGUACUUAUUGGUACGGAACAACUCAGGGAAACUUGAGCUAAUACCGUAUGAGCCCGUAAGGGGAAAGAUUUAUCGCCAAUAAAUCAGCCCGCGUCCGAUUAGCUAGUUGGUGGGGUAAAGGCUCACCAAGGCGACGAUCGGUAGCUGUUCUGAGAGGAAGAUCAGCCACACUGGGACUGAGACACGGCCCAGACUCCUACGGGAGGCAGCAGUUGGGAAUCUUGGACAAUGGGGGAAACCCUGAUCCAGCCAUGCCGCGUGAGUGAUGAAGGCCUUCGGGUUGUAAAACUCUUUCGACGGGGACGAUAAUGACGGUACCCGUAGAAGAAGCUCCGGCUAACUUCGUGCCAGCAGCCGCGGUAAUACGAAGGGGGCUAGCGUUGUUCGGAAUUACUGGGCGUAAAGCGUGCGCAGGCGGUCUUCCAAGUCAGUGGUGAAAGCCCGGAGCUCAACUCCGGAACUGCCAUUGAAACUGUUAGACUCGAGUACGAGAGAGGUGAGUGGAAUUCCCAGUGUAGAGGUGAAAUUCGUAGAUAUUGGGAAGAACACCGGUGGCGAAGGCGGCUCACUGGCUCGUAACUGACGCUCAGGCACGACAGCGUGGGGAUCAAACAGGAUUAGAUACCCUGGUAGUCCACGCCGUAAACUAUGGACGCUAGCCGUUAGGCAGCUUGCUGCUUAGUGGCGCAGCUAACGCAUUAAGCGUCCCGCCUGGGGAGUACGGCCGCAAGGUUGAAACUCAAAGGAAUUGACGGGGGCCCGCACAAGCGGUGGAGCAUGUGGUUUUAAUUCGACGCAACGCGCAGAACCUUACCAGGGUUUGACAUCCUGUGCUCACUCCUGAAAGGGAGCUUCCCCGCAAGGGGCGCA